AUUAUUUUGGCAGAUUAGUGCGUUGGAUUUAGAAUUCAUUUAUGUAUAUAAAAUUUACAAAUAAUA
RNAcentral lists this transfer RNA (66 nucleotides) under Hydroscapha granulum. Its description in RNAcentral is "tRNA-Leu". It matches the Rfam family "tRNA". Rfam says of the family: Transfer RNA (tRNA) molecules are approximately 80 nucleotides in length. Their secondary structure includes four short double-helical elements and three loops (D, anti-codon, and T loops). Lineage: Eukaryota; Metazoa; Arthropoda; Insecta; Coleoptera; Hydroscaphidae. The record is from RNAcentral.